RNAcentral lists this transfer RNA (72 nucleotides) under Microbacterium phage PauloDiaboli. RNAcentral's name for it is "tRNA-Arg". It matches the Rfam family "tRNA". From Rfam's summary of the family: Transfer RNA (tRNA) molecules are approximately 80 nucleotides in length. Their secondary structure includes four short double-helical elements and three loops (D, anti-codon, and T loops). Further hydrogen bonds mediate the characteristic L-shaped molecular structure. tRNAs have two regions of fundamental functional importance: the anti-codon, which is responsible for specific mRNA codon recognition, and the 3' end, to which the tRNAs corresponding amino acid is attached (by aminoacyl-tRNA synthetases). tRNAs cope with the degeneracy of the genetic code in two manners: having more than one tRNA (with a specific anti-codon) for a particular amino acid; and 'wobble' base-pairing, i.e. permitting non-standard base-pairing at the 3rd anti-codon position. RNAcentral also lists the same sequence under 2 other names. Lineage: Duplodnaviria; Heunggongvirae; Uroviricota; Caudoviricetes. The record is from RNAcentral.
GCCUCCAUAGCUCAGUGGUAGAGCCGUUCUCUCCUACAGAAUGGUCGUGGGUUCGAUCCCCACUGGGGGCAC